GAGCUUGCUCUCUGGGUGGCGAGUGGCGGACGGGUGAGGAAUACAUCGGAAUCUACUUUUUCGUGGGGGAUAACGUAGGGAAACUUACGCUAAUACCGCAUACGACCUACGGGUGAAAGCAGGGGAUCUUCGGACCUUGCGCGAUUGAAUGAGCCGAUGUCGGAUUAGCUAGUUGGCGGGGUAAAGGCCCACCAAGGCGACGAUCCGUAGCUGGUCUGAGAGGAUGAUCAGCCACACUGGAACUGAGACACGGUCCAGACUCCUACGGGAGGCAGCAGUGGGGAAUAUUGGACAAUGGGCGCAAGCCUGAUCCAGCCAUACCGCGUGGGUGAAGAAGGCCUUCGGGUUGUAAAGCCCUUUUGUUGGGAAAGAAAUCCAGCUGGUUAAUACCCGGUUGGGAUGACGGUACCCAAAGAAUAAGCACCGGCUAACUUCGUGCCAGCAGCCGCGGUAAUACGAAGGGUGCAAGCGUUACUCGGAAUUACUGGGCGUAAAGCGUGCGUAGGUGGUCGUUUAAGUCCGUUGUGAAAGCCCUGGGCUCAACCUGGGA
This 550-nucleotide ribosomal RNA is filed under the name Stenotrophomonas maltophilia. RNAcentral describes it as "bacterial SSU rRNA". It matches the Rfam family "Bacterial small subunit ribosomal RNA", at positions 76 to 619 of the family's 1533-position model. The record is from RNAcentral. Lineage: Bacteria; Pseudomonadati; Pseudomonadota; Gammaproteobacteria; Lysobacterales; Lysobacteraceae.